GACGAACGCUGGCGGCGUGCCUAAUACAUGCAAGUCGAACGAAACUUUCUUACACCGAAUGCUUGCAUUCACCGUAAGAAGUUGAGUGGCGGACGGGUGAGUAACACGUGGGUAACCUGCCUAAAAGAAGGGGAUAACACUUGGAAACAGGUGCUAAUACCGUAUAUCUCUAAGGAUCGCAUGAUCCUUAGAUGAAAGAUGGUUCUGCUAUCGCUUUUAGAUGGACCCGCGGCGUAUUAACUAGUUGGUGGGGUAACGGCCUACCAAGGUGAUGAUACGUAGCCGAACUGAGAGGUUGAUCGGCCACAUUGGGACUGAGACACGGCCCAAACUCCUACGGGAGGCAGCAGUAGGGAAUCUUCCACAAUGGACGCAAGUCUGAUGGAGCAACGCCGCGUGAGUGAAGAAGGUCUUCGGAUCGUAAAACUCUGUUGUUAGAGAAGAACACGAGUGAGAGUAACUGUUCAUUCGAUGACGGUAUCUAACCAGCAAGUCACGGCUAACUACGUGCCAGCAGCCGCGGUAAUACGUAGGUGGCAAGCGUUGUCCGGAUUUAUUGGGCGUAAAGGGAACGCAGGCGGUCUUUUAAGUCUGAUGUGAAAGCCUUCGGCUUAACCGGAGUAGUGCAUUGGAAACUGGAAGACUUGAGUGCAGAAGAGGAGAGUGGAACUCCAUGUGUAGCGGUGAAAUGCGUAGAUAUAUGGAAGAACACCAGUGGCGAAAGCGGCUCUCUGGUCUGUAACUGACGCUGAGGUCCGAAAGCGUGGGUAGCAAACAGG
This 779-nucleotide ribosomal RNA is filed under the name uncultured Lactobacillus sp. RNAcentral's name for it is "bacterial SSU rRNA". It matches the Rfam family "Bacterial small subunit ribosomal RNA", at positions 28 to 776 of the family's 1533-position model. The record is from RNAcentral. Lineage: Bacteria; Bacillati; Bacillota; Bacilli; Lactobacillales; Lactobacillaceae.